GACGAACGCUGGCGGCGUGCCUAAUACAUGCAAGCUGAGCGCUGAAGGUUGGUACUUGUACCAACUGGAUGAGCAGCGAACGGGUGAGUAACGCGUGGGGAAUCUGCCUUUGAGCAGGGGACAACAUUUGGAAACGAAUGCUAAUACCGCAUAAAAACUUUAAACACAAGUUUUAAGUUUGAAAGAUGCAAUUGCAUCACUCAAAGAUGAUCCCGCGUUGUAUUAGCUAGUUGGUGAGGUAAAGGCUCACCAAGGCGAUGAUACAUAGCCGACCUGAGAGGGUGAUCGGCCACAUUGGGACUGAGACACGGCCCAAACUCCUACGGGAGGCAGCAGUAGGGAAUCUUCGGCAAUGGACGAAAGUCUGACCGAGCAACGCCGCGUGAGUGAAGAAGGUUUUCGGAUCGUAAAACUCUGUUGGUAGAGAAGAACGUUGGUGAGAGUGGAAAGCUCACCAAGUGACGGUAACUACCCAGAAAGGGACGGCUAACUACGUG
This 497-nucleotide ribosomal RNA is filed under the name uncultured bacterium. RNAcentral describes it as "partial 16S ribosomal RNA". It matches the Rfam family "Bacterial small subunit ribosomal RNA", at positions 28 to 507 of the family's 1533-position model. The record is from RNAcentral.